This 344-nucleotide ribosomal RNA is filed under the name uncultured bacterium. RNAcentral's name for it is "bacterial SSU rRNA". It matches the Rfam family "Bacterial small subunit ribosomal RNA", at positions 28 to 363 of the family's 1533-position model. The record is from RNAcentral.
GACGAACGCUGGCGGCGUGCUUAACACAUGCAAGUCGAGCGGGGACACCGAAAGUUUUCGGACGGAAGGUGUUCCAGCGGCGGACGGGUGAGUAACGCGUGAGCAAUCUGUCCCAGACAGGGGGAAUAACAGAUGGAAACAUCUGCUAAUACCGCAUAAGACCACGGGAUCACAUGGUUCCGGGGUAAAAGGCGAAAGCCGGUUUGGGGUGAGCUCGCGUCCGAUUAGCUAGUUGGCGGGUAACGCCACCAAGGCGACGAUCGGUAGCCGACCUGAGAGGGUGAUCGGCCACACUGGAACUGAGAAACGGUCCAGACUCCUACGGGAGGCAGCAGUGGGGAAUA